This 601-nucleotide ribosomal RNA is filed under the name bacterium PQS-4. RNAcentral's name for it is "bacterial SSU rRNA". It matches the Rfam family "Bacterial small subunit ribosomal RNA", at positions 49 to 644 of the family's 1533-position model. The record is from RNAcentral.
CUACCAUGCAGUCGACGGUAGCACAGAGAGCUUGCUCUCGGGUGACGAGUGGCGGACGGGUGAGUAAUGUCUGGGAAACUGCCCGAUGGAGGGGGAUAACUACUGGAAACGGUAGCUAAUACCGCAUAACGUCGCAAGACCAAAGUGGGGGACCUUCGGGCCUCACACCAUCGGAUGUGCCCAGAUGGGAUUAGCUAGUAGGUGGGGUAAUGGCUCACCUAGGCGACGAUCCCUAGCUGGUCUGAGAGGAUGACCAGCCACACUGGAACUGAGACACGGUCCAGACUCCUACGGGAGGCAGCAGUGGGGAAUAUUGCACAAUGGGCGCAAGCCUGAUGCAGCCAUGCCGCGUGUAUGAAGAAGGCCUUCGGGUUGUAAAGUACUUUCAGCGGGGAGGAAGGCGGUGAAGUUAAUAGCUUCACCGAUUGACGUUACCCGCAGAAGAAGCACCGGCUAACUCCGUGCCAGCAGCCGCGGUAAUACGGAGGGUGCAAGCGUUAAUCGGAAUUACUGGGCGUAAAGCGCACGCAGGCGGUCUGUCAAGUCGGAUGUGAAAUCCCCGGGCUUAACCUGGGAACUGCAUUCGAAACUGGCAGGCUAG